GACGAACGCUGGCGGCGUGCUUAACACAUGCAAGUCGAACGGAAAGGCCCUUCGGGGUACUCGAGUGGCGAACGGGUGAGUAACACGUGGGUGAUCUGCCCUGCACUUUGGGAUAAGCCUGGGAAACUGGGUCUAAUACCGAAUAGGACCACGCGCUUCAUGGUGUGUGGUGGAAAGCUUUUGCGGUGUGGGAUGGGCCCGCGGCCUAUCAGCUUGUUGGUGGGGUAAUGGCCUACCAAGGCGACGACGGGUAGCCGGCCUGAGAGGGUGACCGGCCACACUGGGACUGAGAUACGGCCCAGACUCCUACGGGAGGCAGCAGUGGGGAAUAUUGCACAAUGGGCGCAAGCCUGAUGCAGCGACGCCGCGUGAGGGAUGACGGCCUUCGGGUUGUAAACCCCUUUCACCAGGGACGAAGCGUAAGUGACGGUACCUGGAGAAGAAGCACCGGCCAACUACGUG
RNAcentral lists this ribosomal RNA (462 nucleotides) under uncultured bacterium. Its description in RNAcentral is "partial 16S ribosomal RNA". It matches the Rfam family "Bacterial small subunit ribosomal RNA", at positions 28 to 507 of the family's 1533-position model. The record is from RNAcentral.